RNAcentral lists this long non-coding RNA (818 nucleotides) under Equus caballus (horse). Its description in RNAcentral is "lncRNA (ENSECAG00000054763.1)". Lineage: Eukaryota; Metazoa; Chordata; Mammalia; Perissodactyla; Equidae. The record is from RNAcentral.
CACACACCUGUGGAGGGCUCCUGCAAGACCUUCAGCGGAAAGGGAGGAGGGAUGCAGCUGGAGGAAGAAUGAGGCCGGUGCUGAUGGAAGACGUCAAUGGAGACUCUGAAAACAAACCCAGAGACCAGAUGUCUAUAAUGGGCUGUCCGAGGAUUUCACCCCAGAAAUGGGAAGACUUUGCUUUCUCAUCGCUUCCCACAUUGAGAGGAUACGUGUCGCUUGACCUGUGCUCCUUUUCAACAAUCGGAGUGUCCUCUCCAAGUCUGUGUCCAGCUCUGCAAGCCUGCAGGACAUUCUCAGUGUCAUCAAUGAUCCACACAGCACUUCGAUGUGUCAGAAGUCCUUCCUGCGGGCUCCGUGAGCCCUGCUCGUGGAGCUGCUCAUCUCCCGCACGCUGGGGGCUUCCCUCGGAAAUUGGGCGACACUGACUGCAAGCUUGCCUUGGAGGUGGCGCUUCCCCAUGACGGCACCUGCUGGAUUUGUUUGCCACAACCCUUGGGGGUGACAAGGACGCCUCCUUGACCAAACUUUAGUCAGGCUUCUAGGAGCCCUCCUUUUGAAAAAGCUUCACCCUUGGCUUGCCAGAGUCCAGUUUUAGCAAAGAAUCCUGUUAGGCCAGUCUGUCUAGAGUCCCCCACCCUUGGUGUCCAGACAUGCUCCUCUUCCCCCCACCCUUGGUCCUCAGCAAGUUCCUCCCGGUGACCCUCCGUGCAUCCCCGCACCCCGCCCUUCGGCCAUGAUUGCCCACUCGUCCCCAUGAACUCAGAGUGGAGCCCAGGCUCUCCCUGCUGUUGCACUUAUCUUGAAUAAAGUCUUCC